UUUGUUGUGGGGCCGUGAUGUGCCCACCAGUUCAGAAACCAAUUAGGGAUAGGUUCUGCAAAUAUCUUUGCACAUAUUUUAAUAAACCAAGUGUGUUUAAUACAUUUUUCCCUUUAAUUUGGCAAAGUUUCGAGACAUUUUCAAAUACCAAAAUUUUCAAAACCUGGUGAAUUCUCUAUCCUACCUCACUCUUGAGUUUUCUCUUGAUUUCCUUUCCCUAGCCGGUUAACAUGCAAGCCGAAACAAAUAAAUAUUCAUAUAGCACGUAGGAUGCAUCAGUAUGGUCUGUUAUUUUGGGUACACCUGUCCUAGACGGACCCAACCCCUGUGUUGAGUCCCCAAGGUUAAAUGCAUAUGAUGCAAACAAAUGUUCCUACUAGGGAUCCAGCAUGAGGUUGAGUUAUUCUAAAUUUAAAACCUGGGGUUGUGUUCUAAACUUGGCUUACCUGAGCGGACGAACUCGAGUCGAGGAUGGGGCAACGUACCGGGAGCACGAAAGUCUGCACGACCUUUUUGUUUGCCCAGCCCCGUUCUAUUUGGUAUAACUUCUAACAGAAAAAGUGGGCCACGCGAACGUGUGCACCGUUUUUUAGAGGACUCAGAGAGAAGAGGGUUUCGUAACAGUUUAAUAAACAAUUCAAACAAUAUCCAAGCGGUAAAAAUCAGCAUUUAGCAUAUUAGAUACACAAAAAUACAGUAAUAUCAACAAUAAAGCCAAAUAAAAAGCACAUUAACAAGCUUGAAUUCUUGAACCCUGAACCAGAGAUUCUGGGUUCUUGUCCCCAGAGGAGUCGCCAGAGCUGUCACACCUCUUUUUUACACACCCUAGGGUAUAUGAGAGUUUUUCUAAUUAAAGUGACAUUAAUCAAAAUGGGAUAAUUAAUUAAUUUCAGAGUCGCCACUUAGGAUAAUUUAUGGUGUCCCAAGUCACCAGUUUAUUUUUAAAUCCCAAAUCGAGGAAAUUUUCGACUUUAUUUAAAAGUCUGCGAACCAGAAAUUCUAGAUAAGAAAUUCUGUUAAUCCGGGAGAAGGUGUUAGGCAUUCUCGGGUUCCGUGGUUCUAGCACGGUCGCUUAGCGAUUUAUACUUGGCUUAAAUUGUUUAACUACUCAUUUUAGGAUCUAUGUGCAUUUACCUUUUUACCGCUUUUAAAUGCUUGAUUUAUUCGUAAUUAAGGAGUUAUUUUAAAACGAGUAACGCGUACGUAUACUCAUUUCGUUUGGCACGUCAAGAAUCAUGUCACGCGUACGUGUACAUAAUUAAUCACGCUUUAUUAAUAUUAAGAAUGUUUGGUCGAAGUUGCGCGAACGCAUACCUCGAUUUAUUUUGAAAAAAUCGUAAUUACGUCACGCAAACGUGUACACAAUCACGAUACUUUGAUUAACUAAGAGUGUGCCUGAAUCUACUAACGUGUUCAUGAAUAUUAUAAAAUUAUUUACAGACUAAUAAAAGAGGGCAACUAUAUGAUAUUAACGGGCCUAGCAAAUUAAACAUACUUGGUAAAAGAUUUUCUAAUUCACAACAAACUUCAAUGGCCACUUUAUUCUUGCAACCCAAAUUCUUUCGCCUAACCUAACCAAAAAUCCAAAGGAUCGGCACAUUUCUCAUGAUAAGGUUGGCUCAAAAUUAGUUGUUUUUCACAGCUCAGCUACUAAACGUGACUCAUUAUUUAUGAACUAAAUUAGAUCUAAACACAUUAAAACUUGAACAGUAAAAUAUAUUGGAUAAAGACAACAUUAAAUGAAAAUAAACUUGUACAUUUAACAUGCUUUCAAGUUUCAACCACAAAAAAAAACAAUAUAACAUAUACUAACAAAAUAUACUAAGAAUAAAAUAGUGAAGAAGGAGAAUUGGACCUUCACUAAUGUAAAACCAUCUUUAGCAUAAUGGAGGAACUCCAUAGAAGUUGGAACAAAAGCUACAAAUCGCGACAGACCCACGACCGGAAACCUCGAAUCUCGCCGGGUAAAGCUCGUCGGAAACCUCGACUCGAAACAUAAGCAUGAGACGAACUCGACUUGGAAAAUGCCGCUAUUUAUGUAAAAAAGAGGGACUACUUUAAGGUGUUUUAGAGAUGGUCUUGGGUUUGUUCCAUGGAAGCUUCAAGGUGAGCUUUGGGCUGGUAUUCAUGGCUGCGUUUACAUGGAGUUUCAGCUUGUUUUUAGGUCGUUUUUGGCUGAUUUUCGCUGGGAUAUUGAGUCUGUUUUUUUACUGCGUUUCUGAAGCUAUUUCGGGGCUGUUUGGUGGCUGUUCGGCAGCAGCAAUGCAUCUAUUUUGGAGCUGGUUUUCAGCUAGUUUCGUAGUAGCUUUACAGCGGUUUCGCAGCAGUUUACAGCGGUUUCGAGGUUGGAAAUAGGGCUGUUUCGCUGCUGAGUUGUUGGGGGUUGUUCCGGGUGUUUAAAGGUGGCUUAGUGGAGCUUUUAUGGCUGCACUUCGAUGGCUGUUUGGGAGAGGUUUCAUGGUGGGUUUCCAGCUCGUUUUUCGGCUGAAAAGAAGCGUUUUGGGGUGUUUUAAUGGAGUUUCACUUGGUAAAAACAGUGGUUUACAUGGUGAAGAAGCCCUCUUUUUUAUUGUGAUUGUGCUAUUUGUGUACAGUGAAGAAGAAGACCCUCCAGCCCUUUUCGUUUUGUGUCUAUA
RNAcentral lists this long non-coding RNA (2636 nucleotides) under Nicotiana tabacum (common tobacco). Its description in RNAcentral is "long non-coding RNA (NTAB_LNC011311)". Lineage: Eukaryota; Viridiplantae; Streptophyta; Magnoliopsida; Solanales; Solanaceae. The record is from RNAcentral.